Molecule: transfer RNA, 67 nt
Filed under: Mus musculus (house mouse)
Lineage: Eukaryota; Metazoa; Chordata; Mammalia; Rodentia; Muridae
Description: tRNA-Ser
Source: RNAcentral
AGUUGGCUCAGUGGUUAAGAGCACUGACUGCUCUUCCAGAGGUCCUGAGUUCAAUUCCCAGCAACCA